CGGUGGCCACGCCCAAAGAGGAGGCCAAGAAGGGAAGGAAGGCAAAAAGUAAGAGGAGUGGCAAGAAGUCAAGGAAGCUGGGCACUGACAACGAUGCAGUCUCCAGGAAUAAACACCUGGAUAGAGGAUCUGUAAUUGAGCUCCUGGAGAAGAAAGCUGUUCAGGCUGCAUU
Oncorhynchus mykiss (rainbow trout) is the source of this 172-nucleotide non-coding RNA. The record is from RefSeq and is a predicted model, not a curated record. Lineage: Eukaryota; Metazoa; Chordata; Actinopteri; Salmoniformes; Salmonidae.